UCGGGAAUAUUGCGCAAUGGAGGAAACUCUGACGCAGUGACGCCGCGUAUAGGAAGAAGGUUUUCGGAUUGUAAACUAUUGUCGUUAGGGAAGAAAAAAGACAGUACCUAAGGAGGAAGCUCCGGCUAACUACGUGCCAGCAGCCGCGGUAAUACGUAGGGAGCGAGCGUUAUCCGGAUUUAUUGGGUGUAAAGGGUGCGUAGACGGGUAAGCAAGUUAGUUGUGAAAUCCCUCGGCUUAACUGAGGAACUGCAACUAAAACUGCAUAUCUUGAGUGCAGGAGAGGUAAGUGGAAUUCCUAGUGUAGCGGUGAAAUGCGUAGAUAUUAGGAGGAACACCAGUGGCGAAGGCGACUUACUGGACUGUAACUGACGUUGAGGCACGAAAGUGUGGGGAGCAAACAGG
Molecule: ribosomal RNA, 405 nt
Filed under: uncultured Eubacteriales bacterium
Lineage: Bacteria; Bacillati; Bacillota; Clostridia; Eubacteriales
Description: bacterial SSU rRNA
Rfam family: Bacterial small subunit ribosomal RNA
Source: RNAcentral